RNAcentral lists this ribosomal RNA (440 nucleotides) under uncultured bacterium. RNAcentral's name for it is "partial 16S ribosomal RNA". It matches the Rfam family "Bacterial small subunit ribosomal RNA", at positions 338 to 795 of the family's 1533-position model. The record is from RNAcentral.
CCUACGGGAGGCAGCAGUAGGGAAUCUUUCACAAUGGGCGAAAGCCUGAUGGAGCAACGCCGCGUGCAGGAUGAAGGCCUUCGGGUUGUAAACUGCUUUUAUAAGCGAGAAAUAUGAUGGUACCUUAUGAAUAAGGAUCGGCUAACUCCGUGCCAGCAGCCGCGGUAAUACGGAGGAUCCGAGCGUUAUCCGGAUUUAUUGGGUUUAAAGGGAGCGUAGGCGGGUUGUUAAGUCAGUUGUGAAAGUUUGCGGCUCAACCGUAAAAUUGCAGUUGAUACUGGCAUCCUUGAGUACAGUAGAGGUAGGCGGAAUUCGUGGUGUAGCGGUGAAAUGCUUAGAUAUCACGAAGAACUCCGAUUGCGAAGGCAGCCUGCUGGACUGUAACUGACGCUGAUGCUCGAAAGUGUGGGUAUCAAACAGGAUUAGAUACCCCAGUAGUC